Molecule: ribosomal RNA, 468 nt
Filed under: uncultured bacterium
Lineage: Bacteria
Description: partial 16S ribosomal RNA
Rfam family: Bacterial small subunit ribosomal RNA
Source: RNAcentral
GACGAACGCUGGCGGCGUGCUUAACACAUGCAAGUCGAACGGAAAGGCCCUGCUUUUGUGGGGUGCUCGAGGGGCGAACGGGUGAGUAACACGUGAGUAACCUGCCCUUGACUUUGGGAUAACUUCAGGAAACUGGGGCUAAUACCGGAUAGGAGCUCCUGCUGCAUGGUGGGGGUUGGAAAGUUUCGGCGGUUGGGGAUGGACUCGCGGCUUAUCAGCUUGUUGGUGGGGUAGUGGCUUACCAAGGCUUUGACGGGUAGCCGGCCUGAGAGGGUGACCGGCCACAUUGGGACUGAGAUACGGCCCAGACUCCUACGGGAGGCAGCAGUGGGGAAUAUUGCACAGUGGGCGGAAGCCUGAUGCAGCAACGCCGCGUGCGGGAUGACGGCCUUCGGGUUGUAAACCGCUUUCGCCUGUGACGAAGCGUGAGUGACGGUAAUGGGUAAAGAAGCACCGGCUAACUACGUG